UACGAAGGGGGCUAGCGUUGCUCGGAAUCACUGGGCGUAAAGCGCACGUAGGCGGCUUUCUAAGUCAGGGGUGAAAUCCUGGAGCUCAACUCCAGAACUGCCUUCGAUACUGGAAGACUUGAGUCCGGGAGAGGCGAGUGGAACUGCGAGUGUAGAGGUGAAAUUCGUAGAUAUUCGCAAGAACACCAGUGGCGAAGGCGGCUCACUGGCCCGGUACUGACGCUGAGGUGCGAAAGCGUGGGGAG
Molecule: ribosomal RNA, 245 nt
Filed under: uncultured bacterium
Lineage: Bacteria
Description: partial 16S ribosomal RNA
Rfam family: Bacterial small subunit ribosomal RNA
Source: RNAcentral